AUUGAACGCUGGCGGCAUGCCUUACACAUGCAAGUCGAACGGUAACAGGUUAAGCUGACGAGUGGCGAACGGGUGAGUAAUGUAUCGGAACGUGCCCAGUCGUGGGGGAUAACUGCUCGAAAGAGCAGCUAAUACCGCAUACGACCUGAGGGUGAACGCGGGGGAUCGCAAGACCUCGCGCGAUUGGAGCGGCCGAUAUCAGAUUAGGUAGUUGGUGAGGUAAGGGCACACCAAGCCGACGAUCUGUAGCUGGUCUGAGAGGACGACCAGCCACACUGGGACUGAGACACGGCCCAGAGACAUACGGGAGGCAGCAGUGGGGAAUAUUAGACAAGGGGCGCAAGCCUGAUCCAGCCAUGCCGCGUGCGGGAAGAAGGCCUUCGGGUUGUAAACCGCUUUUGUCAGAGAAGAAAAGGUUCUGGCUAAUACCUGGGACUCAUGACGGUACCUGAAGAAUAAGCACCGGCUAACUACGUGCCAGCCGCCGCGGUAA
This 493-nucleotide ribosomal RNA is filed under the name uncultured bacterium. RNAcentral's name for it is "partial 16S ribosomal RNA". It matches the Rfam family "Bacterial small subunit ribosomal RNA", at positions 29 to 523 of the family's 1533-position model. The record is from RNAcentral.